This 73-nucleotide transfer RNA is filed under the name Lachnospiraceae bacterium. Its description in RNAcentral is "tRNA-Lys". It matches the Rfam family "tRNA". From Rfam's summary of the family: Transfer RNA (tRNA) molecules are approximately 80 nucleotides in length. Their secondary structure includes four short double-helical elements and three loops (D, anti-codon, and T loops). Lineage: Bacteria; Bacillati; Bacillota; Clostridia; Lachnospirales; Lachnospiraceae. The record is from RNAcentral.
GCGCUGCUAGCUCAGUUGGUAGAGCACCUGACUCUUAAUCAGGGUGUCCGGGGUUCGAGCCCCCGGCGGCGCA